GAACUGUACCAAUUAUCGUCUGCUUCUUUCGGAAAAUUGGCAGUAAGCAUUUGAAUAAAUUCACAUCAUCAGCCUCUUUUCCACUUCACUGCAAAACCCCCAAAACUCGGCUCUCCCAAUUCAAAUUAGAAUCGAGAAAUCGAACACCACAAUACGUGUAAAUGGGACAUCGCAAUUUUGAAAAUCAACAGCAAUAGUGGUGGACGGGCUUCUAAACCUUUUCUUCUAAGCCAAUUGCAACCUCCUUCAUGGUCCACCACCACAAGUUCCAGCAAGUUUUCCCCGGCCAUGUAAUUUCUCUAUUUUUCGCAUUUUUCCUGACAAAGAGUUAUGCGUUUUCAAUUUGCAGACAUUUCUUUUUCCUUUAACAUAAAUCCAUUGUUUGAAUCUGAACUUGGAAAUUUCUUGUUGGGGUGCACAUUUUCACCAUUUCAUAUUUAUACUAUUUAUGCCCCCCCCCCCCCCCCGCCCUUGUGUAUGUAUAUUUUUCAGGCUAAUCCCAUGAAGUUGGUGUCGCAGUUGAAGCAAAUUGAAGGUGGUGACAGUGGGCCGCGGCGAUGGCUACGACGGGUUUGGUGGCUGUGAUUUUGGAUGGGGUAGGAAAGAGGUAGGAAGAUGAUUUUUUUUUUUAUUUCAUUUUUUUUAAUAUGUUUAAUUUUUAAUUAUUUAAUGUCAGAAAAAUGCAAAGCUACUAAUUUACCUUUAAAAUUGGCCAAAUAUGAUCAAAGUCGAAUUUCUUGGUCAACUAACGGUCUUAUGGAUGGAUUACAUCCAUUUGUCCUCCAGCCGCACAUACUUGAAAGGUUUGAGACGACGAAUAAUGUAAAGAAUAUUAUAUGGGCAGAUUCUCAAUAUAAUAUUCCACAAUUGAAAUUGAUGAUGCACUUAAUCACUUGGAAAAAAUAUCUCUAUGUGAUACGUGUUAUUUUGAAUAGCAAUCACAUAUCGUAUGAAUAUGAGGUCACAUAUCUCAUUUUGCAACACUGAACAUAUGAAUACCAGGUCAUAGAUUACAGUGUUCACUAGAAACACAGGUCACAGAAAUGUGACCCGGUAUCAACAGUUCAAGAUUUUUUACGAACAUCAUAUGUCACCUCUAAGUGUUCACGUCUGUUCCAUAACUUCAGGUUACAGUGUUUUAUCUACACUACGACAGAACAAAAAACACUGCAUACGAAAUAUGGAGGUCACACAUUUGAUAGAGGCAAAGUUAUGAUCACAUUUUUUCAUAUUCAACUAAAAACAGUUGCUAUAUGGAAAUCAGGUGACAACCACUAUAUGGAAAUCAUCCACUAGAAACUGACUAAAUAGUGCAACCAUUUUUCAUUGAGAAAAUCAAUGCAUUACUGUCUAGACAUCAAUUCUCAGUUGUACAAUGGAAAAACAUUUGGUCACAAAUGAUUUCAACGUUAUUAUUCCAAUAAUGUUUCGAAUUCAAGAAUGUGACAUAUUGUCACAAUUGAAUAAUGUUUUUAUUCAAGAAUGAAAACUUUGGUGCUUUUAUCAGGCAUUGACACCUACUACAGGUUGUUAUUCUGUCGAUCGUUCUUGCUUGAUGGGACCAAAUUUGAGCAUCUUCAGUGGUUGUGACCAUGUUCACCACAACGUCCACAUCUUAUUUUCGGUUUGCCUCCCCUAGAUGAUCUCUUCCUCUUCUCUGUAGGUCUUUCACAACUCUGUUUUUGGUUAGGAGCUAACACAAUUUGGUUUUGUACUUCAUUGGGAAUUGUCCAUUCGCUUGGGUUUCCAACAGAAUAUAUUGAAUCUUCAUAAACAUUUACAAAUGCAUCCUUUGUGUAAUAAUAUAAAUAGUAAGCAUUUGGAUCCCUUUUUGUAUGUACAAUUACAGACAACGCAUGUGGACAAGUGAAUACAAAGGAAAGCAACCAGUUUGAUUAGUAAAUAGUGAUUGAGUGGUUAUUUCAAAAAGGUUUUUAUGUAUAUAACUAAUAUGGCGAAAAAACGUGUUGUAAUUUUAUUUUCUGUAUGAAAUCUUGCCACUCGAGUUCUUUAUUCGCAGCUUAGCAUUUUCUGUAUUAUUCAUGAG
Molecule: long non-coding RNA, 2047 nt
Filed under: Olea europaea subsp. europaea
Lineage: Eukaryota; Viridiplantae; Streptophyta; Magnoliopsida; Lamiales; Oleaceae
Source: RNAcentral